Molecule: ribosomal RNA, 1212 nt
Filed under: metagenome
Description: bacterial SSU rRNA
Rfam family: Bacterial small subunit ribosomal RNA
Source: RNAcentral
GAUCGGCCACAUUGGGACUGAGAUACGGCCCAGACUCCUACGGGAGGCAGCAGUAGGGAAUUUUGCGCAAUGGACGAAAGUCUGACGCAGCAACUCCGCGUGAGGGAUGAAGGCCUUCGGGUUGUAAACCUCUGUUGAGUGGGAAGAAAAAGCUUUUUGCUAAUAUCAGAAAGCCAUGACGGUACCACUUGAGGAAGCUCCGGCUAACUACGUGCCAGCAGCCGCGGUAAUACGUAGGGAGCAAGCGUUGUUCGGAAUCACUGGGCGUAAAGGGAGCGUAGGCGGGAAAGUAAGUUAGAAGUGAAAUGUAUCGGCUCAACCGGUAAACUGCUUUUAAUACUGCUUUUCUUGAGUAUGGGAGAGGAAGAUGGAAUUCCAGGUGUAGCGGUGGAAUGCGUAGAUAUCUGGAAGAACACCAAUUGCGAAGGCGGUCUUCUGGCCCAAUACUGACGCUGAGGCUCGAAAGCUAGGGGAGCGAACAGGAUUAGAUACCCUGGUAGUCCUAGCCGUAAACGAUGGACACUAGAGGUUGGAUUCAAUUUAUUGUUUUCAGUGUCGUAGCUAACGCAUUAAGUGUCCCGCCUGGGGAGUACGCUCGCAAGAGUGAAACUCAAAGGAAUUGACGGGGGCCCGCACAAGCGGUGGAGCAUGUGCUUUAAUUCGAUGCAACGCGAAGAACCUUACCUGGUCUUGACAUGGGAGUGAAAACCACUAGAGAUAGAGGAAUUUCCUUCGGGAACACUCCACACAGGUGCUGCAUGGUUGUCGUCAGCUCGUGUCGUGAGAUGUUGGGUUAAGUCCCGUAACGAGCGCAACCCCUAUCCUUAGUUGCCAUCAGGUUAUGCUGGGAACUCUAGGGAGACUGCCUGGAUUAACCGGGAGGAAGGUGGGGAUGACGUCAAAUCCUCAUGGCCCUUACGACCAGGGCUAGACACGUGCUACAAUGGGCGGUACAACGGGAUGCCAGACUGUGAAGUUCAGCUAACCCCUUAAAACCGUUCUCAGUUCGGAUUGGAGUCUGCAAUUCGACUCCAUGAAGUUGGAAUCGCUAGUAAUCGCGGAUCAGCACGCCGCGGUGAAUACGUUCCCGGGCCUUGUACACACCGCCCGUCAAGCCAUGAAAGAUGGUAGUACCCGAAGUCGUUUUCCCAACCGCAAGGAAGGAUGCGCCGAAGGUAAGACCAUUAAUUGGGGCUAAGUCGAAACAAGGUA